RNAcentral lists this ribosomal RNA (30 nucleotides) under Eulophia picta. RNAcentral's name for it is "Geodorum densiflorum partial 26S ribosomal RNA". RNAcentral also lists the same sequence under 16 other names. Lineage: Eukaryota; Viridiplantae; Streptophyta; Magnoliopsida; Asparagales; Orchidaceae. The record is from RNAcentral.
GCGACCCCAGGAUGGGCGAGGCCACCCGCU